AGAGUUUGAUCAUGGCUCAGGACGAGCGCUGGCGGCAUGCCUAAUACAUGCAAGUCGAGCGGACUAUCAGAGAAGCUUGCUUCUCUGAUGGUUAGCGGCGGACGGGUGAGUAACACGUAGGCAACCUGCCCUCAAGUUUGGGACAACUACCGGAAACGGUAGCUAAUACCGAAUAGUUGUUUUCUUCGCCUGAAGGGAACUGGAAAGACGGAGCAAUCUGUCACUUGGGGAUGGGCCUGCGGCGCAUUAGCUAGUUGGUGGGGUAACGGCUCACCAAGGCGACGAUGCGUAGCCGACCUGAGAGGGUGAUCGGCCACACUGGGACUGAGACACGGCCCAGACUCCUACGGGAGGCAGCAGUAGGGAAUCUUCCGCAAUGGGCGAAAGCCUGACGGAGCAAUGCCGCGUGAGUGAUGAAGGUUUUCGGAUCGUAAAGCUCUGUUGCCAGGGAAGAACGCUUGGGAGAGUAACUGCUCUCAAGGUGACGGUACCUGAGAAGAAAGCCCCGGCUAACUACGUGCCAGCAGCCGCGGUAAUACGUAGGGGGCAAGCGUUGUCCGGAAUUAUUGGGCGUAAAGCGCGCGCAGGCGGUCAUUUAAGUCUGGUGUUUAAUCCCGGGGCUCAACCCCGGAUCGCACUGGAAACUGGAUGACUUGAGUGCAGAAGAGGAGAGUGGAAUUCCACGUGUAGCGGUGAAAUGCGUAGAUAUGUGGAGGAACACCAGUGGCGAAGGCGACUCUCUGGGCUGUAACUGACGCUGAGGCGCGAAAGCGUGGGGAGCAAACAGGAUUAGAUACCCUAGUAGUCC
RNAcentral lists this ribosomal RNA (808 nucleotides) under uncultured bacterium. RNAcentral's name for it is "bacterial SSU rRNA". It matches the Rfam family "Bacterial small subunit ribosomal RNA", at positions 8 to 796 of the family's 1533-position model. The record is from RNAcentral.